CAGUGGAUGGUACAGCCCACUGGCUUCUCAGCGGUCACCUCUCUACCUCUGCCUCUCUCUGCCUGUGUCUCUCUCUCAGUGAGCGAACAUUCAGUCUCUCUCUUACUCUCUGAGUCGUCAGGUUGAAUUUCUCUCUUCUUUUUCCCUUGUUAUGACCCAUUUGAGGAGCACCUUCCAUAGAGACAGACACACCAAGAUGAACGGUGAGCUGAGAGCUGUUCGCACCACUACAGGCAAGAGAGGAAGCAGCGAUCAUGACAGGGUUUUUGAUUAUCAGCGCGUCCCCUCUUCAGUCCCAGUGGAUCCCAUUCCUGUCAAAAGGCCACGCCCUUCAUCUUCCUCCUCUUCCUCAUCAUCUUCCUCCACAGUGGCUCUGAGGAUGAAGAACAGUAGAGCGACCAACAGGAACAACAAGACACACACCUCUGCGUCUGGCAGCAGCAAUGUUAAAUUGAAGAUGGCAGAGCUUCUUGCCAUAAAGAGUGAGCUGACAGUGAUCAAGGUUCAGAUUGAUGGCCUGUUGGACUGCGUAGACAAGAUGGACAGACAGCGGAAGGACUGUUCAGAGUGUCCUCAGAGCAGGGAGUCCAGUGUGUUGAACUCUCCUCACCAAGGUUCAGUCUGCAGUGUGGAGAGAGAGAGUCCUGAACCAGGAGAGGCCAGUGCAGAUGAGUCACUGCACUACCAGGACUACUACCCCCACAGCUACUCCCACAGGCUACCCCAACAGGGCAAAUACUGUGUGUACCACUACAACCCCCAUGUGGCGAUUAUAUACCCAAUACCAUCAAAGUCAGGGGUUUAAAUGGGCUGGAGCCCACUGGCCUUGGCCUCCUGAUAUCACAGUCCUGCCAGAGUUUUUCACUGCAGCAUCACACAGCAGGACAAUCCUUGUUGUCUCCAAACUCAGAGAGACAAUUUACACAGAUAAAGCAUUAUCAUUCUCAGGAGGAUGACCUGUGAUGCUGCAGUCCAGAUCCUUGUAGAACAGAGGCUCACAUUGGUAACAGCUGGUAUUGAAGAUGCUUCCAGAAGAUGUUGGCAACUUGACCUGCAUGAACUCUCCUCUACACCUGAAUUCAUCCAGUACCGUCAGUUUGAUUUGUAUUAUGUUGUACCAUCUUCUGUUCUGGUUUCCAGUUUACGCUGAUGGUAAAAUCUCAGUUGUGUUCCUCACACAUCACUGACACCAGCACUCUAUAUUAAAAAUAUCUUUUAACUUUAAAACCAUACUGGUUAGAUGAUCACCACUGAUUUCAACUACAGUAAUAUCAAUAGGUUCAAAAAAUUAGCUUACAGCAACUUCCUCUUAAGACCCAAGCUUUGGUUGGCCUUGCAUUUUAGAUUUCUUCAAAUUAUUUGGGAAAAGGAGUAACCAAUAAAUAUAAUAAUUGGAUAAUAUCAAAUAUCUCAUUAUUAUGUUUAUUAUAUUUAUAUUGUUAUUGUUGUUAUUAUUAUUAAUAUUCUUAUUUUGUUAUUAUUAUUAUUAUUAUUAUUAUUAUUAUUAUUAUUAUUAUUAUUAGUAGUAGUAGUAGUAGUAGUAGUAGUAUUAACAAUACGCUCUUUAAAAAAAAAAGAUGUUUAGGAGGUUAAAAUUUCUUCAUUCAAAUAAUUCUUUGUAAUGAGCAAUUUAUUAGAUUUUAUUUGGGAUUUUUUUAGUAAUGCAAUCAAGGGUCUGUCGACAUCUUUGCCUCAAUCAAACAACAUUUUAUUCAUUGGUCGCAAAGUUAACAUUGGACUGUAGAUGUAUUUUCUUCGCUUUUGGCCUGAUCCGUCCCCUAACCACGCUGUCCUGCUGGACUCCCCACUGAUCACCAUUAAUGAAGUCAGUUUGGCAGCAGCUGGCAGCUCCUUAUCACACAAUUUAUUUUCAUCAGGCCUGCUUUCAUUAUGUGUAACCAGCUGUGUGCAGGACUGCAUUAUAGUUCUGAGUUUAAGCCUGAAUGAGCAUAGUUUUAUGACUCCCUGGGUCUACACUGUUCAAUUCACUCAGAAAAACAGCUAUAAAGUGAUAUAUGGACUCUGACAAUUUCCUGAAAUGAACACUAGCUCAGAAGGAAAAUUGCAUGUAGUGGAUAUAAAUUGGAAGAUUACAAUUUUCCACCGUGAAUAUGAAUCUUUUUACGAUAACAUCCAUGACCGUGACAUUUUCAGCGGUUAGUUAAAUUCAAUUUUGCUGAAACUUUAUUUGAUCACUUGUUAGUUUAGGUUAGCAAACAAAUUUAUCAAGAAAAAUGUUAGAAUACAUUUAGCAGCUUAAUCACUGGCUUUAAAAUUAGCUUAAAGCACAGUUUUUGAUAAUUGGAUCUGCUCUUGGUUUGUUUCACAUUAACUCUUCAACGAUUAGUUUAGAUUUUUUGAAGUCGAGUUGUAAGAGCUACUUAUUGAUAGUUAGUUUAUUACCUAUAUUAGAUUGCAGUUGGCACAUCCACAGUUUGGACAUGCAGGAGUUUACGGCAUGGAAACUAAGCAAUGCAAUGUUGUGGAGAGGGACAGCAGCCAAAUAUAUUUUAGCCACCCAAAGAGACCCAACUGAAGAAUCACUAUCAGUUUAAGUGUAUGCUCACUUGCCCAUGUUCACUGUUAUGCUGAAAAUGACUUUCUGAUGACAAGAUAAAGCAGUUAAAAUAUUCCAAAUAUAGUGUGCACUUAAAAUAAUAUAGAUGUUUUGGGCUAUGCCUUUUUUUUUUUUAGGUUGCUAAAAUAUGUUUUGUUGCUGACUCUGUCCACAGCAAUCUUUGUGUCAGUACUCCUGUCUGCUUCUCCAAAUUGUGGGUGUGCCAGCUUCCAUCUAUACACUGACUAUGAAUAAGUACCUCACAAAACCCUACUUAGGUGAAGCUCUCAGUUUUGCAAGUUGGCCUUUGUUCCAACACUCACUUAUGGUCAUGAGUUCUAGGUGGUGACUGAAAGAACAAGAUUGUAACUACAAGUAGCCAAAAUGGGUUUUGUCUGUACGGUGGGUGGGUUGAGUCCUGAAAUCGAGAGAGGAGCUUGGACAUCCAUGAGUAGAUGGGGAUGGGAGUACAGUCGCUGAUCCUUCAUGUUGACAGGAGCCAGGUGGGGUGGUUUACCAUCUGAUUAGGAUGCCUAGUGGGCGGAAGUUUUCCGGGAAUGUCCAACUAGGGGGAGACCUCGAACCCAGAACCCAGAACCCAGAACCCAGAACUUCCUGGACUACACAUCUCAUCUGGCCUUGGAAUACCUCAGUAUCCUUCAGGAGGAACUGGAAAUUGUUGCUAGGGAGAGGGAAACUGCUGCCAUAAUGACCCAACGCUGAAUAAUUGGAAGAAAAUGGAUGGAUCCGCCAGUAGUUCUCAAAGAGUUAACAUUGUGCUACAGAUCAGUUUAGUGGAUUCUGUUUUCCUUAGAUUAGCUGAAGAACCAGUUUAACAGAGCAAAACCUGUGGUCCAGGUCAGCUAUUGCUUUGUUUAGGAGAUAAAAACAAUUAUAUUCAGGUUAUCCAGAGCAAAGUAUAAUAGCUUGGUUCAGUUUAGCUGGUGGAUUAAUUUGCAAGAUCAAAGAGUUAUUUUCAGAAAAGCCAGUACAGUUUAGGUGAAAUUAGCAAGUGGAUUAUUAUAGGCCAGUUUGUUUCAGGUUUCAGUGAGGACUACAGGUGUAAAUAAGCUGCUGACCCUUUUACACCAGCCUCUAUGAAAUGUCAGUACUGAUUAAUCUACACUGUCCACUUUGAUAGAUAAAUACAUUUCAAAAGAAAACUUGUCAGCAGGUGGAGACUGCAAUGAGACCAUCAGAUGAGAGUUGACAAUAAAAGUACCAGCUGGUUCAUGUUUCCUGAAAGAUGAUAAAGCCUUGCCCUGGCUUUGCAUUUCAAAUGCUUGUUGCAUGUGUCAGAUAUAGUAAUUUUCCGUCACUUUUACAUGUUAUUAAAAUCGCAGUGAAUUUAUGAUCACCGUCAGUGCAAAUGUGCAUGAGUAAAUACUAAAGGACUUUUUGUGGCCCAGAGUUGUACUGCCAUCGCACUGUUAAAUGACAGUUACACUGUGCUGCACCGCACACUUCUACGAAGACAACUCACAUAAAGUGUGUAGCAUUCAAUAUGCUAUCGUUACUUCUGCAAAAAUGGUUCAGUGUCAUAUUCAUUGGUUGGAGCCAUAUUGCAUUUUGUGAGAUAUUGUUCAUUCCACCAGAAUUUGGGUGAUGGUUUAAUGGAGAGUAUAACCACUAAAGUGUUGCCAAGUCAAACAUAUAAAGACUUGUCAAUAUAAACAGCAAUGACUGUAAAUAUGUUCAGAAUGUUCAUGUAAAAUAUUUGUUGUUUUAAAAAAAAGUGAUACUUGAAAUUAUUUAUGUGCAUAGUAGCGACUCUUUAUUUAAAAAAAAAUGUAUUUUAAAUAUUUUUUAAAAAGGUGAAAAUGUUUUAAUAAGAAAUCCUGUAACUGCAGACAGAAUUGUUUUGGAAACUUCAUUGUAGCUUCUGUUGACACUUUUGUGUUUGGUCAGUGCUAAAUGUUACCUAUUUCAUUGUGAAAGUAGUAAACAUGUUUUUCAUAGAACUUG
Amphiprion ocellaris (clown anemonefish) is the source of this 4522-nucleotide long non-coding RNA. NCBI's taxonomy places the organism in Eukaryota, Metazoa, Chordata, Actinopteri, Pomacentridae. The record is from Ensembl.